AAUCCGUGGUGUGGGCAUUUCUGAAUCAUCAUUUUAAAACACUCUCAUACUUCAUGAAAACUUUCUCCUUCUUAUUGUUUAAACAUAGAAAUUUCCCUUCUUAGUUG
Molecule: non-coding RNA, 107 nt
Organism: Gossypium arboreum
Lineage: Eukaryota; Viridiplantae; Streptophyta; Magnoliopsida; Malvales; Malvaceae
Source: Rfam